RNAcentral lists this long non-coding RNA (674 nucleotides) under Citrus maxima (pomelo). RNAcentral describes it as "long non-coding RNA (CMAX_LNC002900)". Lineage: Eukaryota; Viridiplantae; Streptophyta; Magnoliopsida; Sapindales; Rutaceae. The record is from RNAcentral.
GGCGAUGUUGCAAACAAUCAUGUGUUCCUCUCAAAACUGCCAGUCAAGCCCCAGUAAUAAAUUAAUUCGAGAGCUAUCUCCAGCUCCAUCUGUAUGAUACUUUAAAAGCAUUGUUCCAGUCUUCGAAGACAAUGGUGCUGAAAUAAUUUAUGCUUAAAACCCCGUGAUUUUAACUUUCCUUUCGAAUAAAAAGCCUGAGAGAAGUAAGAUUUCUCACCUUAAUUAGCCAUGAUCGGGCUGUUGUUCAACUCCUGUUAUAGCUUCUGGUUUCUUCUAAUCUGCUGCAGCUUCAAGCCUUCAGCACCUGCAGACCCACAAGCCAGCAAGAUCGAGAAAGAGAGAGAGAGAGGAGAUAAAUUUGAGGAUGCAGCUGAAUCUAGCGCCGGUGAGGGCCAAUUUAGAAUGUUACGGUCGUAUUUAGUUAAAGUUGAUAUUAGCGCAUAUUCAACAUAUAAUUAAUAGGUGAUCCAAAAUCGUACCUUUUAAUCCUAAAAGCAGAAGCGAAUCAUAUUCAACCAGUAAUUCAUUUUAUAGAUUUUUACUUAAUAUUUUAGCUUUGCUUAUUUAUUUAUUUUGAAGAGUUCCAUAGUUUGGUUUUGAUACAGCUGCUUGUUAUAUAAUCCAGCUUUACUUAGAAUGUCUCGGUUAGAAAUUUAUUUUUCCUAGCGAAAUAG